RNAcentral lists this long non-coding RNA (497 nucleotides) under Monodelphis domestica (gray short-tailed opossum). RNAcentral's name for it is "lncRNA (ENSMODG00000040352.1)". The record is from RNAcentral. Lineage: Eukaryota; Metazoa; Chordata; Mammalia; Didelphimorphia; Didelphidae.
GCUUUGGAUAUAAAAGGAAGCAUGCAACCUGAUGAAAAUUUAUGGGACCAUUCCUCUUUGACUUCUAUCUUCCUUCUGGUUAGCCUUGAAAGUCUCCAGCCUCUUGACACUACUCCAACCUUUCUGCUUAGCUGGGCCAGAGCAUACAGUCUUCCAGGAAAAGGUGCAGGAUGAUAAAUACUCCAUACCACUUCAGUGAAUGGAUAACCAUCUAAACAAAUACACUUGGAAGGAAAUUUUCCAGUAAGUUUCACUGACUAUGUACUUGGAAUCUGCCUACUUAGAGGCCCACACAUUCUGAAUAUUAUCAGCACGUUGGCAUGGAGGUAAGUGUGGGCAAUCGGAAAGGGGAAGAAGCAGAAGAUUGAGAUAACAUUUUAUCUCCCAGUGACCAUGGGCUUUUCUCUCCUAAAACUGGCUCAAAGCCUUGACAUAUCAAGUCAUCCCACAGAAAGGGGAGAAAAUAAAAGCCUGACAGGUGGAUCCUAUCUGCUGCA